CGGAACGGGUGAGUAACGCGUGGGGAACCUGCCUCAAAGAGGGGGACAACAGUUGGAAACGACUGCUAAUACCGCAUAAGCCCACGGCUCGGCAUCGAGCAGAGGGAAAAGGAGUGAUCCGCUUUGAGAUGGCCUCGCGUCCGAUUAGCUAGUUGGUGAGGUAACGGCCCACCAAGGCAACGAUCGGUAGCCGGACUGAGAGGUUGAACGGCCACAUUGGGACUGAGACACGGCCCAG
Molecule: ribosomal RNA, 238 nt
Filed under: uncultured bacterium
Lineage: Bacteria
Description: partial 16S ribosomal RNA
Rfam family: Bacterial small subunit ribosomal RNA
Source: RNAcentral